GACAUCCUAUACCAUUGUUUUUCGAAGUGAUUUAUUCAUAAAGAAAUAUGGAACUCAUUAAUGACAGUUUAUGAGCUAUGGGCAGAGGGUUGAUACUGCUGCUCCCACCGUUUGGACAAGAAGCUGUGUGGAUAUGAGAGAAGAGGCAGUGAAGGGUGAGAGGGGCGGCAGAAGCCUCCAUGGUGAGAUCAUGUCAAACCUCUAAGUUUUUUCUUUUAAAUUGAUUGCCCAGCUCACUCUAGGGCCCCCUUCCACUUAAGCCACUUUCUCCCUUCCACCCCCUGAAAAGAAGCGU
This 295-nucleotide long non-coding RNA is filed under the name Bos taurus (domestic cattle). Its description in RNAcentral is "long non-coding RNA NONBTAT024659". Lineage: Eukaryota; Metazoa; Chordata; Mammalia; Artiodactyla; Bovidae. The record is from RNAcentral.